RNAcentral lists this ribosomal RNA (460 nucleotides) under uncultured bacterium. RNAcentral's name for it is "partial 16S ribosomal RNA". It matches the Rfam family "Bacterial small subunit ribosomal RNA", at positions 338 to 795 of the family's 1533-position model. The record is from RNAcentral.
CCUACGGGUGGCAGCAGUGAGGAAUAUUGGUCAAUGGACGAGAGUCUGAACCAGCCAAGUCGCGUGAGGGAUGACUGCCCUAUGGAUUGUAAACUUCUUUUGUCUGGGAAUAAAACGUUCCACGUGUGGGCUUUUGUGUGUACCUUAUGAAUAAGCAUCGGCUAACUCCGUGCCAGCAGCCGCGGUAAUACGGAGGAUCCGAGCGUUAUCCGGAUUUAUUGGGUUUAAAGGGUGCGUAGGUGGUUUGUUAAGUCAGUGGUGAAAGUUUGCGGCUCAACCCCAAAAUCGCAGUUGAAACUGGCAGUCGUGAGUACGGUAGAGGUGUGCGGAAUGCGUGGUGUAGCGGUGAAAUGCUUAGAUAUCGCGAAGAACUCCGAUUGCGAAGGCAGUUCACUGGACUCCAACUGACACUGAGGCACGAAAGUGUGGGUAUCGAACAGGAUUAGAUACCCCAGUAGUC